CUUUCAGGUUGUUUAAUUAUUUUAUACCGAACACGUUGGCGUUAUAUGGAAAAGAGGCAUAUAUAUGAUUCUUUGCGUAUUUGCAGUGCCGUGACUGCAGAGAGGUAAAAGAUAAAUCCAGAGAAGAUAAAAAGGAAAGGACAGAGGAUGCCCAGGAAAAUGAUGCUUAGAUGGUUACAGUUGCAGUGUACAGGUGGGAGCUAAACUGAAGCUUGCUGGUUGUGACGUGUCAGCCAUAAACUUGUAUUAUGACCAUUGUUUAUCCGG
Molecule: long non-coding RNA, 267 nt
Organism: Triticum dicoccoides
Lineage: Eukaryota; Viridiplantae; Streptophyta; Magnoliopsida; Poales; Poaceae
Exons: 3
Source: RefSeq, a predicted model, not a curated record